AAUGAUCAAGUUGGACCCACAAUGACUUAAAGUUAUAUUUAUGCCUUAUCCAGAAAGCUUUCUUUUCAAGAAGAAAAUGAGUGACUUUAGAAAAUGUAUACAUUGAGAUUACUUUUUAAGGUUAAAAAAUGCCAACAAUAAUGUUAAAAAGUGAUGAUGCUUGAAAUCCUUUAGAUGCUCUAAGUACUGGUAAUAAACAUGUUCUAUUUUAUUUGAGUUUUUACAGAUUGAGAAACUGAAGGACAGAUAAGACUCGACUCUCCUGAAUCCCAGGCCCUUGCUGGGUCCCCACAAGGUGGUGAGGUCCUUGAAGGUAGGAUCUGUUUUAUUGAAACAUCUUUGCAGCCCCUUUAGGUCUGGAACACAGUAGGGACUCAAUAAAUGUCUGUGGAAUUUAACUAUUUCCUGGAAAUGACCAACAAUAUUAAUAUGUUGAACAUGAGGACUUUUAGUAGGAUAAUUAAUAAUUUAAUAAAUAUAUACAUUCUAUAUUUUCCUUAUAUCUUGGUAACCAAAAGGGAAUUACUUGAGCUAGCAAACUGCAGCCAGUAAUGGACAGCAGCAGCCACAUUAAGAAUGUCUUAUUUUCCCAAAGGGAUACGAUUUUCACAUAUGGCAUUAAUUUCUGGGAGUUUGUGAGACAACUGGGACCAUUUGAACAAUUUUACAGAGAUUUAGCUGCUUAUACUGAGCUGUGUUGCUCAACCUGACUUACUCCAAAGCCUGAAAGGAUGUAGUUCAGGUGUGUUUGGCAGCUGAAUGAGGCCACAGUGUUUAGUGUUGGGUUAGCCCGUGAUUCUCCACCAGGCUACGUGUCAGAAUCACCUGUGGAACGUCUUAAUCGAUUCCUAUUUCCAAGGUCCCUCGUUAAACCAGUUAAAUCAGAAUCUCAGGAGUAGGGUCUAGGCAUUACAUUUUUGAAGCUCUCUGGAGGGGUCUCAAAAGAGGCACAAAGAAUGAGUGGUGAGAGGGGAGAGCUCCUUCUUGCUUUCUACAAGCUCCAAGUUUGCUUUUAGCCGAUAGUGUUAGCCCAGUGUUGUUCAAACCUUAAUGUGUACACGUAUCGCCUGGGGAUCUUGCUGAAAUGCAGCUUCUGACUUGGUAGAUCUGGCCUGCCGGUGCAGAUGCAACUGGUUAGCAGGCCACCAUAGGCAGCAAGGAUCCAGAGCUGCACAGGCCAAUAUGGUGGCCACAGGACAUGUGUGGCUAUUGAGUGUGUGAAACAUGGCUAGUCCAAGUUGCAAUGUGCUGUAAGCAUAAAAUAAACACCAGAUUUGGAAGCUUUUGUACCAAAACAUAGAUAUAUCCAUAAUAAUUUUUAUCUUGGUUACAUGUCAAAAUGAUAAUAUCUUAGACAUACUGAGUUAAAUAAAAUACACUAUGAAAUUAA
This 1390-nucleotide long non-coding RNA is filed under the name Homo sapiens (human). Its description in RNAcentral is "HSALNT0120652". Lineage: Eukaryota; Metazoa; Chordata; Mammalia; Primates; Hominidae. The record is from RNAcentral.